Non-coding RNA from Pelobates cultripes (western spadefoot toad), 219 nucleotides. NCBI's taxonomy places the organism in Eukaryota, Metazoa, Chordata, Amphibia, Anura, Pelobatidae. The record is from the annotation of a GenBank genome assembly.
CUACUGUGUUAAUAAAGGUAUUUUGGCUACUUUCACAUUGAGUGUGCCAUGUUACUCUUUUUACUCCGUUAUUAUUCUUUUAUUAUUUUAUUGCCUGGUAUCCUGAUUUUACUCCCAGCAAGAACUACUCAAGAAAUCCUUAGGUGGGAAUUAUUCCACUCACGCCCUAUCAAUAAAGCAGUUUGUCUGCUCUGGCAAAUGUGAGUAAUAUACUCUUAU